Molecule: long non-coding RNA, 625 nt
Organism: Bubalus bubalis (water buffalo)
Lineage: Eukaryota; Metazoa; Chordata; Mammalia; Artiodactyla; Bovidae
Exons: 3
Source: RefSeq, a predicted model, not a curated record
ACUCAACCUAAUGAUGUUCUGGGAGAAGGUUGUUCAUCUCUUCUUUGUUGUUGAAGUCGGGGGCCCUCCUGGUCCAGAGGAGGAGGCCGGCCUCUAGCAACUGACAUCUUCCCAAUCCUCUGGUUAGUCCAGCCAGAGGUGGGGAUUGGGAUCCCACCGUGGAGCCUUCCUGGUUCUCCUGGGGCCUUCUCCAAGUCCACCAUCUGACUCUCCUGGACCUGUGUUAUGGAGAGUAUCUCCCCACACUAAAACACAAGCUACAUGAAGAUCCUUUCGAGGACCCUUGAACCCUGAUUAUAGAGGCAGAACUGUGGUCUGAGGAUGCGGUGUUGAGGGUGAGGCAGAAGAGCACAGGUGAGGGCAAAGGUCACAGCAACUGAUGUGAUAACUACAAUCUCAACUAGGAAUCACUAUCCUCAGCACCCUUGGGGCUUCCCAGAGCUCAUCACCAUCAUCACCAACACAAUAUCAUGAAUAACACUUAUCAAGCAUUUGGUCUGUGUCAGGCACACAUUUAAAAAAACCCUAUAGUGUAAGUGGGAUGAGCGCCUGUGCUAAGUUGCUUCAGUCGUGUCUGACUCUGCAACUCUGUGGACUUUGGCCCGCCAGGCUCCUCUGUCAAUGG